This 253-nucleotide ribosomal RNA is filed under the name uncultured bacterium. RNAcentral's name for it is "partial 16S ribosomal RNA". It matches the Rfam family "Bacterial small subunit ribosomal RNA", at positions 524 to 776 of the family's 1533-position model. The record is from RNAcentral.
UACGGAGGGGGUUAGCGUUGUUCGGAAUUACUGGGCGUAAAGCGCGCGUAGGCGGAUUAGAAAGUUGGGGGUGAAAUCCCGGGGCUCAACCUCGGAACUGCCUCCAAAACUGCUAAUCUAGAGUUCGAGAGAGGUGAGUGGAAUUCCGAGUGUAGAGGUGAAAUUCGUAGAUAUUCGGAGGAACACCAGUGGCGAAGGCGGCUCACUGGCUCGAUACUGACGCUGAGGUGCGAAAGUGUGGGGAGCAAACAGG